This is an RNA transcript of Biomphalaria glabrata, 2120 nucleotides long. RefSeq lists it as uncharacterized. Lineage: Eukaryota; Metazoa; Mollusca; Gastropoda; Planorbidae. The transcript has 6 exons. The record is from RefSeq and is a predicted model, not a curated record.
GAGACAUGAACUUAUCACUUUUUUUUUAAACUAUAUAAACCAGUCUGUCUCUCAUUCUUGUACUCAUUUGUGCCACGAUGGCCUUAUUUCUACACCUCAUUCUCUGCGGGUCUUUAGUUUUUUUGUCGACUUCAGAACUGAUCAUUGAUGUUGUACCGCGUGUGAUAUCAGAACUAACAGCGCAACUUGUGAUCAACUGUUCUAUAACCAACAACCAAGUCCAACAACUAGACCUGAUCAAAUCUCUAUCUCUUUCUCGUUACAAUGAAACUAUCAAAGAAUUUGAGGAUCUUUUUGUAUUAAACUCCUCAACCCUAAACCUGAACCAACUUGAUCAAUCCCAAUAUUUACAACUCAGUUUCGGCAGUCUGUUUAUAACUUUAACUCUACUUAAUCCAACUCAGCUUGAUGCUAAAGUCUACAGAUGUACUGUCACUGGAGACAACGCCAAUGUAGCAAAUGUUUCCUUGUUCGCUUAUAAGGAGGUAGAGUAUGAAAGAAACUCGACCGCUUUGAUUGAAGAGAUUCGACGUUUGAAGAAAGACGAGAAUGUCUGUCAAUGCUGUUUAAAGAAAGAUGAUCGCUCAGACACCAGUCAAAGUUCAAAAAUUCAAUUCUCUGGAAGCUCUGAAAUUAUUACAGAACUAAUUGAGCCAUUGACAUUAAAAUGUGUAUUUAAGGUACCAAAUCAGGAUCCAAAAGAAACUUCCACACUCCAGUCUCUGUUCAUACUUCAUGAGACCAAUGGUGUCAUAGCAUACGUAAACAAAGGUCAACCUGUUGUUAUAAUCACCAGAGGAGUUCCUUCAAAAAAUGUCAAAGGUAAAAUCUAUGUCAACGAACCGGAAGACUCCUACCUUCAAGUCACGUGGAGCAACCUCAAAUUCUCAGACUCUGGAAAAUAUUUUUGUGAAGCCCAUGUCAAAUAUUCAGGUGGAAGAACCGACAAGCUGAAUGAAAUGUUAACUAUCACAGUCAAAAGUCCAACAAUUGAUGAGUUGGUGAAAGUACUACAGAAACUCGUCACCCAAGUAGAGGAAGACAAGGAUCGUAUACAAGAAAACCAACAAAACAUUAAGAGCAUGAAGAAAGAUUUAGAUCGAAAUGUUGUAGGCAUUAAAAGAGACAUAGAUUCAACUAAACAAAAUAUUGAAAACUUUAGCAACGACGUGGAGUCUACUCUAAAAAUCAUGAAAGAAAGCGUGGAUACAAAUACACGGAAUAUAAGCAAUUUACAAGAGAAUCUGAAGACGAUGGUGGCCAAUAUUUCAACAGCUUUGAUAGAAGUGAAAAAUCAGGUCAAUGAAGUUGAGAAAUUUCACCAGAAAAACUUCAAACCUCCUACAUCGUGCAGUAACCUAGAGAUGUACAGUCUUGAAGAGCGUGAGGUUGUAAAGUUAGCUUCCGGGUUAAAGGUCAUGUGUGACACCAAGACAGACGGCGGUGGAUGGGUCAUUAUCCAGAGAAGAAUCAACGGAAAAGUAGAUUUCUAUAGAGGCUGGCAGGAGUAUCGUGACGGCUUUGGAGAUUACAACAUUGGGGAAUUUUAUCUGGGGAAUGAAAAUAUUUUUAAGUUAACUUCUACUGGACAAUAUGAUUUGAGAAUAGAUUUAGAAUACGGCAAUACCAGAUACUAUGCGCAGUACGAAAACUUUAAAGUUUUGAAUGAGGCUGAGAAAUAUAAACUGCAGAUAGGAGACUAUUCAGGAAAUGCCGCCGAUAGUUUCAGAAGUCAUAACGGCAUGCUUUUUACGACAUUUGAUUAGAGAUAACGACAUUCAGGUCAGGGACAACUGUGCCGUGUUUUGUCAUGGUGGCUGCUGGUACAAUGACUGCCACAAGACCAAUCUAAACGGCAAAUGGGGCAGGUUAUCAUUGGAGGGAAUGGUCUGGCAUGGGAUUACUGGUUUGUUUAAGAGUGUCGCCUUUAGCGAGAUGAAAAUUAGAGAAAGAAAAUAAAACUCUUCAAUUUUUGGAUUUCUCUUAUCUUUAAGAUGUAAAGGAGAAGCCAAUAGAGAAUAAUGUCUUUGUCUUAUGAUAUUGAAAUAAUGUGACAUUUACUUUAACCCAGAGCUUAUACUUGUGCAGGGAAUAAAAUAAAUUGUUUGAUAUGACAAUAA